RNAcentral lists this ribosomal RNA (477 nucleotides) under uncultured organism. RNAcentral describes it as "partial 16S ribosomal RNA". It matches the Rfam family "Bacterial small subunit ribosomal RNA", at positions 331 to 799 of the family's 1533-position model. The record is from RNAcentral.
GUACACUCCUGCGGGAGGCAGCAGUGGGGAAUUUUGGACAAUGGGCGAAAGCCUGAUCCAGCAAUGCCGCGUGGGUGAAGAAGGCCUUCGGGUUGUAAAGCUCUUUUGUCAGGGAAGAAACGGUGAAAGCUAAUAUCUUUUGCUAAUGACGGUACCUGAAGAAUAAGCACCGGCUAACUACGUGCCAGCAGCCGCGGUAAUACGUAGGGUGCAAGCGUUAAUCGGAAUUACUGGGCGUAAAGCGUGCGCAGGCGGUUUUGUAAGUCUGAUGUGAAAUCCCCGGGCUCAACCUGGGAAUUGCAUUGGAGACUGCAAGGCUAGAAUCUGGCAGAGGGGGGUAGAAUUCCACGUGUAGCAGUGAAAUGCGUAGAUAUGUGGAGGAACACCGAUGGCGAAGGCAGCCCCCUGGGUCAAGAUUGACGCUCAUGCACGAAAGCGUGGGGAGCAAACAGGAUUAGAAACCCUAGUAGGCCCAUG